RNAcentral lists this ribosomal RNA (468 nucleotides) under uncultured bacterium. Its description in RNAcentral is "partial 16S ribosomal RNA". It matches the Rfam family "Bacterial small subunit ribosomal RNA", at positions 28 to 507 of the family's 1533-position model. The record is from RNAcentral.
GACGAACGCUGGCGGCGUGCUUAACACAUGCAAGUCGAACGGAAAGGCCCUGCUUUUGUGGGGUGCUCGAGUGGCGAACGGGUGAGUAACACGUGAGUAACCUGCCCUUGACUUUGGGAUAACUUCAGGAAGCUGGGGCUAAUACCGGAUAGGAGCUCCUGCUGCAUGGUGGGGGUUGGAAAGUUUCGGCGGUUGGGGAUGGACUCGCGGCUUAUCAGCUUGUUGGUGGGGUAGUGGCUUACCAAGGCUUUGACGGGUAGCCGGCCUGAGAGGGUGACCGGCCAUAUUGGGACUGAGAUACGGCCCAGACUCCUACGGGAGGCAGCAGUGGGGAAUAUUGCACAAUGGGCGGAAGCCUGAUGCAGCAACGCCGCGUGCGGGAUGACGGCCUUCGGGUUGUAAACCGCUUUCGCCUGUGACGAAGCGUGAGUGACGGUAAUGGGUAAAGAAGCACCGGCUAACUACGUG